This 253-nucleotide ribosomal RNA is filed under the name uncultured bacterium. RNAcentral describes it as "partial 16S ribosomal RNA". It matches the Rfam family "Bacterial small subunit ribosomal RNA", at positions 524 to 776 of the family's 1533-position model. The record is from RNAcentral.
UACGUAGGGAGCAAGCGUUGUUCGGAUUUACUGGGCGUAAAGGGCGCGUAGGCGGCAACUCAAGUCAUCUGUGAAAUCUCCGGGCUUAACUCGGAACGGUCAGAUGAUACUGUUUUGCUAGAGUGCGGAAGGGGCUACUGGAAUUCUCGGUGUAGCGGUGAAAUGCGUAGAUAUCGAGAGGAACACCUGCGGCGAAGGCGGGUAGCUGGGCCGACACUGACGCUGAGGAGCGAAAGCGUGGGGAGCGAACAGG